This 243-nucleotide ribosomal RNA is filed under the name uncultured bacterium. Its description in RNAcentral is "partial 16S ribosomal RNA". It matches the Rfam family "Bacterial small subunit ribosomal RNA", at positions 15 to 252 of the family's 1533-position model. The record is from RNAcentral.
GAUCAUGGCUCAGGACGAACGCUGGCGGCGCGCCUAACACAUGCAAGUCGAACGAGAGAGAAGGAGCUUGCUUCUUCGAUCGAGUGGCGAACGGGUGAGUAACGCGUGAGGAACCUGCCUCAAAGAGGGGGACAACAGUUGGAAACGACUGCUAAUACCGCAUAAGCCCACGGGUCGGCAUCGACCAGAGGGAAAAAGGAGUGAUCCGCUUUGAGAUGGCCUCGCGUCCGAUUAGCUAGUUGG